UGAUCGCAUUGUCGUCCAAAAAUCGUGUGUAUAAUGUCGUGUGCAUAGUACUGUAGCCCCCCACCCCACGCCAGCACUGCCGCCCUGCCCGGCGCCGCCGCCGAGCGCGCGCUGAGCUGCGAAUCCUCCUCUCUAUUCGACAUUUCCUCUGACGCCGCCACCUCCCUGCCCCAAUGCACCGCCUCUCAUCUACUUCGCGACUUCCCAUCUCCUCCACGGCAUCUUCCCCGCCUCGCUGGUGGCCUUCAGCGCUUGCCCGACGAGUUAUCCCACUCCUGGCGGCUCCAAAUCCACCAGCCCGUCGUGUUUCCCGAUUUCCUCAUGGAUCUCAGAACCUGGCCACCGUCAGGCGAGUACAAGGCGAUGAGUCUGGUAAACCAUAUAGACGACUGCCCAUCUCGAUCGCUCAAAUGAUGAAAAACAUCAAGACUGACAAUUCAAAAAAAAUGAAAAAUAUUGGGACGAGGGGCACUGCCUCGGUGGUUAUAGAUGAAGAUGGGAGGAAAAGUGAUAAAGAUGCUUUUAGGACAACCUCAGAGGUUAUGGAUGACAAAAGUGAUACAUGGGGCCAAAAUGUGAACUUACCUGGUUCUGAGGAAGACCAAAGUAGCGCAGCCAAGAAUCACAUUACUGGAAUCGCUGUCAGUGAGGAUGAAGGACUCAGUGAUGAUGAAGGAUUUAGUGUGAACGGUAUACUUGCAAAAAGCAGACACCGUGAUGGUUCUAUAUACAGGGGUAUUGAUUUAUUUCAUUGGAAAAAAGAGUAUCGUAUUGCAGACCGUAAUGAGACUCGGUUGGAGCCAAUGACAUUAUCAGAUCCUGCUGCAAAUUGCAAUGUUCACGAUGGAACUUGUACUAGACAUUUUGCUCGUAGCAUGCUACAAAUUUACUCAUUAGAGUUGACUAAAAUUUCUGUGGAUGGCUUAGUAGAAUUGUAUGGAUAUGUAGCAGUGCGGGAUGAUCUGGAUCCGUUGCUUAAUUAUGUUGUCAAUAUUAGCAGGGAUGAUCCCAUCAUCGUGGAGCAGGGUUCUCUCAUCAACAUGAUUGGCCCCAAACGAGGGAUAGAUAUGGCAGAUCAUGCUCUACUUGAAUAUGACAUGAAGAUCAAGUCAGCUGGACAAGAAAAAGAUGACCUACAGCUGAUUGAUGGUGCAUCAUUCAUAGGCCCCUUAGGCUCAUGGGAUCGGCCGUACACAUUUCACAUUGCUGGUGAUUGUGGCUCAGUUGACAUAACUUUGUCACGUCUUUUAGAAGCAGUUGAGGCGACCAUAGAGGUUCUCGUAUUGGAAGUGAAAAGCUGUUUCAGUUUGUCCGUCGGAUGUUUCGCCAGUGGGUUUAAUGCAGAAAUCCGGCUCUUUGAUGGCACCAUCGCUGAUUCACAAGGCCUAAAGAGGUCGGUGGUUGCUGUAAUGGACAAUUCUUUUAUAGAUUUGAAGUUCAAGGUAGGCGCACUGUCAUCCAGUUCCGACCAACAUUGCUGUUCCUUCAAGGUGAAAAUGCAUGGGCAUGAUAUUGAAGAAAUAAAGACUGAUUUUGCAUUAAUCUUAGUGAAGGUGAUUUGGUCGACCUUGCCUAGGGGCUUUUCCGGUUAAGGUUUGUCCGGCCAUGUGUCUGAUGGGCUGGCUCGUGACUAACUUGUGGAGUGUAAUAAUCAAAACUAUUCUGGCAAGUCUUUGCAUACUCAGUCCAGAGGCCAUAGUUUGCUUAUUAUCAAAACACCACACCACAAGCUAGUGCUAUGGUUGGGUCCUUCUGGUGGCGAGACGUCUGUUCAUUGAUGCAUUCUUUCCGUGGAAUUUUGGUCUGCUCUCCUCAUAAUUGUCUAUCAGUGUUGUUUUGGAAAGAUAACUGGUGUGACCCUCUAAUGGCCCAUAAAUUCUCACGCCUGUUUUCACAUGCAAUUAGUCCUUAUGUUUCGUUGGCCGAGCUCUUGGGUUCAAGGGAUUUGCGUGAACCUGCGGUGAACUUUGCUAUUCGCCUAUUCCUCUCUCAGAGCAAGUUUUUGUUGAACUGCAAGAACUGGAGGUGCUUCUCCUGGAGCUCAAUAUGGAUCAGGAGGCUCGUUCUGGUCAGGACCCCAGGGACGGGUAUACUGCAGCUGGCAUCUACAAAGCUCAUGUUUGCCGGUCUGGAGUGUCCAUCUAUUUUCAAGAAAAUAUGGAAACGCAAGUGCAUGCCAAAACUGAAGGUGUUUAUUUGGCUGUUGUUGGUUGAUCGACUCAAUACCCACGACAUGUUGGAUAGAAGACACUGACACAUGGAUUCGGGAUUAAAUUGUCCUUUGUGUGCAAGCAACAGCAGAGAGACCAGAGAGCACCUUUUCUUCAACUGUGCAUUUGCUCGCCGCUCCUGGAGGCAGGUUGGCAUAAAUUGGACCCAAAAUCAUGAUGUGGCUGCCAUGUUCCGCUCGGCUAAACAAUCUUUUACUGGCCCUUGUUUCUUUGAGGUGGCAACUUGUGUUCUGUGGAAUGUGCGGAAACAACGCAACGCUUAUAUAUUUCAGCAUCAGACCCCUUCUUUGGCUACUUGGCGUGUGCUGUUUAAGAGAGAUAUCGGUCUCAUUGGUCAUAGGGUUAAGCCCCAUCUUCAAGCUCUCUGCUUUCUGCUUGGUUGACUACUCCCUCCGUUCCUAAAUGGGAUUCCCCUACUGUUUCAGGUCAAAAUAACAAUAAUGGUACAUAAAUGCAGUUCAUCACUGCAUUGUGAGUGUGAACUGAACAAAAAAAUUGCUGAAGCUUUAACCUCCAACCUGAUGCUGGUAACAUUAUCUUUUUCCAAGAGCUGAAUGAUCAGUGUCAAUUGCACUCUACGGACGAUGUUCGCUGGUGAUUCGUGAAGCUGCUGAGAAAAACAACUCAUGAUAGAAGAAUGAUGGGCAAGUUCAGACAUUUUAUUAAUCAUCAUCAGCUCAAAAAUCUUUACCUGCAAUUGAACUGACUGCCUGCCACCUCCUUGCUAACUGCCCUUUCUCCAUUGUUGUUUGGCGUUUGGUCCUUCUCAGAGCUGGCCUACUAGAAACAAUCCAGCUAACAGCAAAAUGACGCUGAUAGUUCUGUCUGUUCCCGGCACUGGAAUCUGAAGCCUUCGUGAAUCUAGCUAAGAACAAAGUGUCACAUAUGCGCUCAAGUUCAGAGGUUGAUGCCACCUCCCAUUGAUGAAGCUAAACAAGAUUUAUCCUAGUGCAUGAACCUCUCCUUUUGGGUGGCAUGUCAGGACUAAACAAUGAAGCAGAGGGGAUUAGCAUAUAAUGCAAACUUAUUUUUCAAUGUUAAUGACUAAACUUUGAAGCAGAGUACUGAGAAUUAGAAUUUG
Triticum aestivum (bread wheat) is the source of this 3312-nucleotide RNA transcript. RefSeq lists it as uncharacterized. Lineage: Eukaryota; Viridiplantae; Streptophyta; Magnoliopsida; Poales; Poaceae. The record is from RefSeq and is a predicted model, not a curated record. The transcript is spliced from 5 exons.